AGUGAACGCUGGCGGUAGGCCUAACACAUGCAAGUCGAACGGCAGCACAGUAAGAGCUUGCUCUUACGGGUGGCGAGUGGCGGACGGGUGAGGAAUACAUCGGAAUCUACUUUUUCGUGGGGGAUAACGUAGGGAAACUUACGCUAAUACCGCAUACGACCUACGGGUGAAAGCAGGGGAUCUUCGGACCUUGCGCGAUUGAAUGAGCCGAUGUCGGAUUAGCUAGUUGGCGGGGUAAAGGCCCACCAAGGCGACGAUCCGUAGCUGGUCUGAGAGGAUGAUCAGCCACACUGGAACUGAGACACGGUCCAGACUCCUACGGGAGGAAGCAGUGGGGAAUAUUGGACGAUGGGCGCAAGCCUGAUCCAGCCAUACCGCGUGAGUGAAGAAGGCCUUCUGGUUGUAAAGCCCUUUUGUUGGUAAAGAAAAGCAGCAGGUUAAUACCCCGCUGUUCUGACGGUACCCAAAGAAUAAGCACCGGCUAACUUCGUG
Molecule: ribosomal RNA, 492 nt
Filed under: uncultured bacterium
Lineage: Bacteria
Description: partial 16S ribosomal RNA
Rfam family: Bacterial small subunit ribosomal RNA
Source: RNAcentral